This 329-nucleotide long non-coding RNA is filed under the name Phoenix dactylifera (date palm). Its description in RNAcentral is "long non-coding RNA (PDAC_LNC022210)". Lineage: Eukaryota; Viridiplantae; Streptophyta; Magnoliopsida; Arecales; Arecaceae. The record is from RNAcentral.
CCGAACGGAGCACGAACCGUGAAAAAAAAAUUUCGAAACAAGGUGGAACACGUACCUUUGCGGCCGAUUCUUCGUCCCAAAUCACUAGUUGCUUGUCCAUGCUUCGAAUGGGGCUUAAAUCUCCUUCAAAGAUCGCCUAAACGAUGUAAAUGGAUCGAGGGGUUUAAGGGGGGUUUGAAGGGGGGGUUUUUUUUUCUUUUCAAAACGAAAUGGAGGAGGAGGAAGGGGGGGUGUAUGAGAAAAUUUCAAGGGCAAUAUGGUAAUUACACUAAAGGUUAGUUUGGGUAUUUUUUUUUGGUUUUUGGGGGUGUCCUGAGCAAUAGGGGGGG